Molecule: ribosomal RNA, 468 nt
Filed under: uncultured bacterium
Lineage: Bacteria
Description: partial 16S ribosomal RNA
Rfam family: Bacterial small subunit ribosomal RNA
Source: RNAcentral
GGCGAACGCUGGCGGCGUGCUUAACACAUGCAAGUCGAACGGAAAGGCCCUGCUUUUGUGGGGUGCUCGAGUGGCGAACGGGUGAGUAACACGUGAGUAACCUGCCCUUGACUUUGGGAUAACUUCAGGAAACUGGGGCUAAUACCGGAUAGGAGCUCCUGCUGCAUGGUGGGGGUUGGAAAGUUUCGGCGGUUGGGGAUGGACUCGCGGCUUAUCAGCUUGUCGGUGGGGUAGUGGCUUACCAAGGCUUUGACGGGUAGCCGGCCUGAGAGGGUGACCGGCCACAUUGGGACUGAGAUACGGCCCAGACUCCUACGGGAGGCAGCAGUGGGGAAUAUUGCACAAUGGGCGGAUGCCUGAUGCAGCAACGCCGCGUGCGGGAUGACGGCCUUCGGGUUGUAAACCGCUUUCGCCUGUGACGAAGCGUGAGUGACGGUAAUGGGUAAAGAAGCACCGGCUAACUACGUG